CACUACGAACGCCUCAUAGCAAGUAAAGUAACCCUCCGGGGGGCUGUUAGCACAUUCCCCGCGGCAGGGAACCCGGAACUCCACAGCAUCCGGGAUGUGGUAGAACGAUCGCAUCGUCGCGAGAAACUCGUCAGUAGUCCUGCUUGCAUCAUCUUCCUCGACUCCACGAUGGACCAGGACCGGAAACGGCUUCUCCUUGGGAGGGGUC
Molecule: long non-coding RNA, 208 nt
Filed under: Brassica rapa (field mustard)
Lineage: Eukaryota; Viridiplantae; Streptophyta; Magnoliopsida; Brassicales; Brassicaceae
Description: long non-coding RNA (BRAP_LNC008396)
Source: RNAcentral